UACGAAGGGGGCUAGCGUUGUUCGGAUUUACUGGGCGUAAAGGGUGCGUAGGCGGGUCUUUAAGUCAGGGGUGAAAUCCUGGAGCUCAACUCCAGAACUGCCUUUGAUACUGAGGAUCUUGAGUACGGGAGAGGUGAGUGGAACUGCGAGUGUAGAGGUGAAAUUCGUAGAUAUUCGCAAGAACACCAGUGGCGAAGGCGGCUCACUGGCCCGUAACUGACGCUGAGGCACGAAAGCGUGGGGAGCAAACAGG
This 253-nucleotide ribosomal RNA is filed under the name uncultured bacterium. RNAcentral describes it as "partial 16S ribosomal RNA". It matches the Rfam family "Bacterial small subunit ribosomal RNA", at positions 524 to 776 of the family's 1533-position model. The record is from RNAcentral.